This 439-nucleotide ribosomal RNA is filed under the name uncultured bacterium. RNAcentral describes it as "partial 16S ribosomal RNA". It matches the Rfam family "Bacterial small subunit ribosomal RNA", at positions 339 to 795 of the family's 1533-position model. The record is from RNAcentral.
CUACGGGGUGCACCAGUGGGGAAUAUUGCACAAUGGAGGAAACUCUGAUGCAGCAACGCCGCGUGGAGGAUGACACUUUUCGGAGCGUAAACUCCUUUUAUAUAGGAAGAAGAUGACGGUACUAUAUGAAUAAGCGCCGGCUAACUCCGUGCCAGCAGCCGCGGUAAUACGGAGGGCGCAAGCGUUACACGGAAUCACUGGGCGUAAAGAGCGUGUAGGCGGAUUAAAAAGUCAGAAGUGAGAUCCUAUAGCUUAACUAUAGAACUGCUUCUGAAACUCUUAAUCUAGAAUAUGGGAGAGGUAGAUGGAAUUUCUGGUGUAGGGGUAAAAUCCGUAGAGAUCAGAAGGAAUACCGAUUGCGAAGGCGAUCUACUAGAACAUUAUUGACGCUGAGACGCGAAAGCGUGGGGAGCAAACAGGAUUAGAUACCCUCGUAGUC